UGCAGUGUUGUGGUACCUGCACCCAGCAGCCUUCUGGUGGGAUGUUCAAAAAGCAGUGCAGUAUUUGGCAUCCUUGGUUUUCAAUGUGCUGUGUCUGUUAAACCUGGUAUCUCCUGAAACAGUC
Passer domesticus (house sparrow) is the source of this 124-nucleotide small nucleolar RNA. RefSeq annotates it as small nucleolar RNA SNORA8. Lineage: Eukaryota; Metazoa; Chordata; Aves; Passeriformes; Passeridae. The transcript has a single exon. The record is from RefSeq and is a predicted model, not a curated record.